GUACUAUAAGCGUGCAGAGUAACUCUUGGUGCUGUCCUGUGGACCUAGCUGUCCUAGAGAAGAUCCUUUUCAGACAAAUAACGCAGGCAAACACUUUUGACUACUGAGGUCUUUCCACAAAGAAAUAAGGGAAUCACACUGACCUUUUUCCCUGAGAUGUGCGCUUCAAGCCAGUGGCCCAGAGAGAAGCUCUAAGGGAUGACGGGCACAGUCCUCAGUCUCUAAAACAUAGCUGGAGACUGACUUGUUCAAAUCCAGUCCUUGGCUAUGAAGAUCCCUGUAAGGACAGAUGGGCCACCAUACUUGUCACAUUCUUACCCUUCAUUCAUAGGAACUCAUACCUCUAGGCAUGUUCAGUACUGAAGCCAGUUCUUAGUUCAUUUCCAAAGAACAAGUUUAUCGUCUCUAAACCUGGCUCUGUCAAUGUUGCAAUCUGCCAGCUUUGCUGUUACCUGUGCCCCCUUGAUGUGGACCUAUGCAUCUUAGGAUUUCCAGGCUGGGCCUGGACUCUUUCAUCACCUACGUUAUGCAUGAAACAGGAGCCAAUAAAGCCCACUGAGUCCCCAGAGGAAAAUCAUGGUGCAGGACUGCAGUCAAUGACCAUUUCACCAAGUUUUUAUUUACCAGAGAUUUACUAAAGAUGUCAAGGGAACCGCAUUCUCAUUUCCCAACUUGGUAUCCUUUUUGUGGGGAGCUAGCUCUGACACUAAUCAGCAAUGUCCUCCACCCUCAGGCAGCAGCAUGAAAUCCUAAAGAGCCUUUGCCAAGCUUCUGCUGGCCAGCCUUUGAAAAGUCUGAGUCUUCUCAUUGAUGAACACCCAAAGAGCAACCAACAAAAUGAUCUUCACUCCCCAUAAAGACCACGGCUCCCCAGUAGUCCUGCUAGUGUACUCUUUAGACCACAGAGGUUUCUUGGGCUGGAAUAAUCUUCUUCUGACCUAUACUUAAGAUCAAAAUGAAGAUGAGAUUAUGUGUUCCAUCAUGGCUUCUGCAAAUGUCAAAUGUGUUUAAAUUUACAUGCCUCUCUUCUAAUUUAUCCUUGAAAGUGGGAUAUGGACUCCUGCUAUCCAAAGUUUUAGAUGGGGAAAAUAAUGCAAUCCCAACCAACCUAAAACCCCCAAUCAGUUUCCCCCAUGUAUCACUAAAACCCUCUUAAAACCCAUGACAAUCAAAGGAACUCAAACAAAACAAGCAUUGUUUUCCUAAAUAACAUUUAAUGUACUAAUUAGGUAUCUGUGUACAGUACACAAUGGUGCUAUAGACAGUACAACAGGAAUUAUGACUUCUUUCUAUACCACAGUAAAGUACUACCAAUAGUGAUGGUGUAAAUGCAAAUGCUAGCAUACUUCAAAGUAAAACUGGGCUUCAUCUGUGGAAUGUUUAGUCACUGCCCUUCAAGUUGAAGGGGAAUGAGAGUUCACUAGAGAACAAAUGGGAAAAUUGACCAGGAUUCAACCACAUCUGAAGUCAAGGAAUGGUCCCAAAGUAGAUAAAUGUGUCCUACCAUCUGAAGCCAUAGAACAAGAGUAGAAGGGUAUGUUGUCUUCCCUCUGUUGGCAAUUAGGUGGCUUGAGACUUCGUAUGCUCUUGCAAGUGAGCAUAAGAGAAGCAUUGUAUUCAAACCUGCAGUCAUGACUGCAGUUCAAGGAUUUUAAAGGCUUGGCAUUAUUUAGCCUCUUCUGCUAGUGAGAAGAAUCAAACUGAACGUGUUCUUCAGUGGCAAUUUCUUGGCCCUUGCUAAUGAGAGUGGGUUUAGUUGACAAUGUUAAACAGUCACUAUUUAAAAUUCUGCAGUCUCAGAAGUUUUUGUGAGGGUAGUAUAAUUCUCUAGAAAUAGGGAACUAGACCCUGCUUAAAUAAUUCUUGGUUCCUGGGUCCUCAUAGAGACAGAAGGAACAGAAACAAAAACCUUAGUUAUAGGGACUUCAAGUUCUGGUCAUCCCUAUGUGAUGCAGUGGAAUUCUACCGAGAUACUCCUGAGACUAUACAACCAAGUUCCUAGUAGUGGGAUCCUUCACCUGAGUGAGCUCAGUCCCCUCUAUGGAAACCUGGGCUGUCUUCUGUCCUGUCCUGUGGGGCUCUGGAAUGGCCCUCAGUGGGUCUGAAAGUAGAUUUCUAAGCAAAAUGCUCUCUAUCUCUGCCCAAAGGCCUUUCCAGGAUAGAUUACUGGGAUAAGUGUGGUCAACUUGGUUUUGCCAAAGGGGCAUGAAUGUGAGCCCUCACUGGGGAGGGUCUGCCCUUCCCUGAUAACUUCUAACAAUGUCAUUUCUCAUAAGGACAUCUCCACUUCACUCUGAUACAUGAAGUUGUCUUUCUUUCUUUGGAUCUGAUUCCUGAACCUGUCCUUGUGGACCAAAGCUCUUAUAUCCUGGUCAAGUGGGAAGAAGGAAGCUUUGAGUCCCAGUUACUUCAUGCAAUGGUGUUCUGUCCUUCAUCAGGAAGUCUACUGGCCUGUGAGCUGAACUUCUCAUAAUAGUCAACUCACCUUGUGUCUAUCUUCUCUCUAUACACCAUCUGCAUGGAAUCCCCCAUAAAAAUACCUUGAUCAGGAUCCUAACUGGAGACUGAAUCCAUCUCUGAUUACCCACAGGUAUGGGCAGGGUUGAGGGAACCAACAAGAGAAGUUGGUGUGUCCCUCUGCUCUCUCAGGACUUCAUGACCACCCAAUCCCUCCCAGAGCUGAGAGAACAGGGGAAGUAACCAGUGCUCCUGGGCCUGACUGAGCUGUUAUCAUGGAAGCCGAAGUCAUAAAGGGAAGUGGCCCCUGGCUGGGGGAGAAGGCAACUGACUAACCUCCCUUCACUUUUCCCUCCAUCAGCUGCUGGUGCCUCUCAUUGACUACAUCUACUCACUCUCUUGCCCUGUCUUCCAGAUGAAGACAAACAGGUGAUCCUCUCUGAGCACAGGACAUGGUGAAGAAGUUCUCAGGGAAGGGCCUACCCUCUAAAGAUGUCAUUUCUUACAAGGACAUAUCCACUUCAAUCUGAUACAUGAAGUUGUCUUUCUCUCCUUGGAUCUGAUUCCUGAACACUGUCCUUGUGGACCAAAGCUCUUAUAUCCUGAUGAAGUGGGAAGAAGGAAGCUCUGAGUCCCAGUUACUUCAUGCAGUGAUGUUCUGCCCUUCAUCAGGAAGUCUACUGGCCUGUGAGCUGAACUUCUCAUAAUAGUCAACUCACCUUGUGUCUAUCUUCUCUCUAUACACCAUCUGCAUGGAAUCCCCCAUGCAAAUACCUUGAUCAGGAUCCUAACUGGAGACUGAAUCCAUCUCUGAUUACCCAUAGGUAUGGGCAGGGUUGAGGGAACCAACAAGAGAAGUUGGUGUGUCCCUCUGCUCUCUCAGGACUUCAUGACCACCCCACCCUUCCCAGAGCUGAGAGGACGGGGGAAGUAACCAGUGCUUCUGGUAACAGGCUUCUGGAAUCCUCCUGACUGAGCUGUUGUCAUGGAAGCUGAAGUCAUAAAGAAAAGUGGUCCCUGGCUGGGGAGAAGGCGAUGGACUACCCAACCUCCUCCACUUUCUAUCACCUGCUGGUGCCUCUCAUUGACUACAUCUACUUGCUCUCUUGUCCUGUCUUCCAGGUGAAGACAAGCAGGUGAUCCUCUCUGAACACAGGACAGAGUGAAGAAGUUCUCAGGGAAGGGCUGACCCUCCAAAGAUGUAAUUUCUUACAAGGACAUCUCCACUUUGAUACAUGAAGCUAUCUUUCUCUCCUUGGAUCUGAUUCCUGAAUGCUGUCACCAUGUACCAAUGCUCUCAUAUCCUGAUUGAGUUGGAAGAAGGAAGCUUGAGUCCCAGUUACUUCAUGCAAUGGUGUGCUGUGCAUCAGGAAGUCUACUGGCCUGUGAGCUGAUCUUCUCAUAGUCAACUCACCUUCUGUCCACAUACCAUUUGUAUGGAAUCCCACACACAAAUACCACUAUCAGGAUCCUAACUGGAGAUAGAAUCCAUCUCUGAUUACCCACAGGUAUGGGCAAGGUUGAGGGAACUAACAAGAAGUUGGCAUGUCCCUCUACUUUCUCAGGGCUUCAUGACCACCCCAACGCUCCCAGAGCUGAGAGGACAGAGAAGUAACCAGUGCUCCUGGGCCUGACUGAGCUGUUAUCAUGGAACCAGAAGUCAUAAAGGGAAGUGGCCCCUGGCUGGGGAGAAGGCAACUGAUUACCCUCCCUCCACUUGUCUUUCCAUCACCUGCUGGUGCCUCUCAUUGACUACAUCUACUCACUCUCUUGCCCUGUCUUCCAGGUGAAGACAAACAGGUGAUCCUCUCUGAGCACAGGACAGAGUGAAAAAUGAUAGGCUAGAUCUCUGGAGGCAAACAAAAUAAUCAGCACACCCACUCAGAGAUCCUGCUGUCAGCCUAUUUUUGGCCUGUGUUCAACUAUAGAGAGGAAGAUUGACCCUUUCUGGUAUCAGAAAUGUAUAUGAUCCUCCCUACCAUUGGAAUCCCCUGCACUAGGCUGGCCCCUGCAUACUUAGAGCCUCUAUUUUUACUGUGGUCUUCCUGCCUUAGUCAUAAGGAGAUUCCCUCCACAUUGUGCCUGAUACAGUUGUCCUAUCCGAUCUCACCACCAUUGCUGCCAUCAUUGAUACUCUCCUGCUGGGGCCUCCUCCUGCUUAAGUUCUUUUCUGUUCUGCUGCUGUGACUGACAUCGACUCUAUACCUCCUGUCCCCACUACUACAUUAAAGCCCCUUGCGGACAAGAGAUCAAAAAUUAAGUGUGAUAUUCUCAAUGCAGUGAGAAUAUUCCUGGUUUUUCUCAGUUCUCACUGGAACGUAGUUCUCCGACUGGUUCUCUGUACAAUUAAAGAAAGCUGCAUGCGAGCAGACGAAACUAUGGCUUAAAAGGCUGAAGGUGCAGGGAUCUGAACUCAAUUCUGGGACAGCUGCUUCAUUAACAGAAAUUAGCAUCUUGGAAGUAUCUCCUAUCCUAGGGCUUGUUCUUUGUGGAUACAGAAGAUGCCCAGGGAUUCUGUCUACAUCCCUUGGGUUCUUUGCCAUUUUCACAGCCACUGGCUCCCGACACUUUGCCUCUUAACAGCCAGUGCUCUAUCGUUGAAGGAUGGGCCUCAGGCUGCCUUGACUGCACACAUGGAGAAUCAGGUGCUUUUUAACUAACAACUGAAGGAUGCAGGGCAAAUCCCUCAGCUUAAGGCUCUUCCCUGAGGAUGACCAUGGCACUUCCAGCUGCAGGUCUGGGGUGGCUGCUCAUCUCUUGAACCACUUUCCUCCCACAUCCCUUGUGUACUGCACCCUACCACCCCAAUUUCUCCCUGGGAAGUACAUUGAUUUGUGCUAGCAACUGCUUACUGGAGGACCCAGCUGUUAGAGUGGACACUUUCUCUGGAUGUUGGGUGAAGCCUAUGUAGGAUUAAAGGAGAGGAAGCAGACAAGGAGAGCCUCAGGUCAUGAUGCAGAUAUAAGGUCUGAAGCCCCAGUGAUGUGCUCCAAAGACUGCUCGAAGCUAUGCUGCAUUGGGCAGAAAUGGCCAGGCACUACUACCCCUACUGUGCUCAGUCAUCAGCUGGAUUUGCUUGGGGAGACCACAGUGACAAGUGCUGCGAUGGAUCCCAAAGGCAGUGCAGCUACCUGCCAUCCUACAGCUGAAUGCCAAGGCUUGCCUUGAAAAGCAAUUCAAGCAGCCCAUCUCCAGGGCUGUCACAUGGAGCUUUCUUUAACCCAUCCUUCCCCCUCUGAAUGCUGGGAGAAGCUAAAUGCUGGUAGUCUUCCUCCAGCUUCAAAUCCAAUUAAGUUCACUGGAGAAUCUGGGCAAUGCCUCCAGAUAACAUUCCUACUUCCAGCCUGGACAGUGUCACACAGUAGUAGCCCUCCUACAAAUCUGUGGUGCUAAUAGCAGUCAUAAUGUUAUAAAUAAAGUUUCGGUGCCACAAAAGAAA
This is a long non-coding RNA of Pan troglodytes (chimpanzee), 5896 nucleotides long. RefSeq lists it as uncharacterized. The transcript has 3 exons. The record is from RefSeq and is a predicted model, not a curated record. NCBI's taxonomy places the organism in Eukaryota, Metazoa, Chordata, Mammalia, Primates, Hominidae.